Oncorhynchus tshawytscha (Chinook salmon) is the source of this 401-nucleotide long non-coding RNA. The record is from Ensembl. Lineage: Eukaryota; Metazoa; Chordata; Actinopteri; Salmoniformes; Salmonidae.
AAGAGAACAAAAACAACGGCAAAAUUUGACAUUUGGAGCAACUUGGACAUUUGACGUUUGGAGAACGUGGAUGAAGAUCUCAUUCGAUACUACUGAGAUAAGUACGAGGCCAGUUCUCUCUCUCUCGUCUCUCGCUCACUCUCUCUCUGUCUUUAUCUCUGUCUUCCUCUCCCUCUCUCUGACUCUUCCUCUCUCUCUCUCUCUCUCUCUCACUCUUCCUCUCAUCACUGCUGAGUCUGUCAUGGUGGUGUGGGUGCAGGUUGUCAUGGUGGUGUGGGUGCAGGUUGUCAUGGUGUUGUGGGUGCAGGUUGUCAUGGUGGUGUGGGUGCAGGUUGUCAUGGUGGUGUGGGUGCAGGUUGUCAUGGUGUUGUGGGUGCAGGUUGUCAUGGUGUUGUGGGUGC